UCCGGUUGAUCCUGCCGGACCUGACUGCUAUCGGGAUAAGACUAAGCCAUGGAGGUCGACGCGCGCCCUUGCGCGCGUGGCGUACGGCUCAGUAACGCGUGGUUAACCUGCCCUCGCGAUGGGUAUAACCUCGGGAAACUGAGGAUAAUCUCCAAUAGGCGAUUGGAUCUGGAAGGACCUUUCGCCCAAAGGGAUGGGGCAAAUGGGCCUCAUCCGCGCGAGGAUGGGACUGCGUCCCAUCAGGCAGUUGGUGGGGUAAUGGCCCACCAAACCUAUAACGGGUACGGGCCGUGAGAGCGGGAGCCCGGAGAUGGGCACUGAGACAAGGGCCCAGGCUCUACGGAGCGCACCAAGCGCGAAACCUUCGCAAUGCGCGAAAGCGUGACGGGGCUAUCCCGAGUGCUAGCCGCUGAGGCUAGCUUUUGCUCAGUGUAAGAAGCUGAGCGAAUAAGUGGGGGGCAAGACUGGUGUCAGCCGCCGCGGUAAUACCAGCUCCACGAGUGGUCAGGACGGUUAUUGGGCCUAAAGCGUCCGUAGCCGGCUCAGCAAGUUUAUGGUGAAAUCCGUCGUCUCAAGCGUCGGAGUGCUGUAAAUACUGCUGGGCUAGGGAGUGGGAGAGGCCGAGGGUACCUCCGGGGUAGGGGCGAAAUCCUAUAAUCCCGGAGUGACGACCAGUGGCGAAAGCGCUCGGCUAGAACACGUCCGACGGUGAGGGACGAAAGCUGGGGCAGCAAACCGGAUUAGAUACCCGGGUAGUCCCAGCCGUAAACCAUGCGGGCUAGUUGUCGGAGCGGCUUAGUGCCGCUCCGGUAACGCAGGGAAGCCAUUAAGCCCGCCGCCUGGGGAGUACGACCGCAAGGUUGAAACUUAAAGGAAUUGGCGGGGGAGCACCACAAGGGGUGAAGCUUGCGGCUCAAUUGGAGUCAACGCCGGG
This 934-nucleotide ribosomal RNA is filed under the name uncultured archaeon. Its description in RNAcentral is "bacterial SSU rRNA". It matches the Rfam family "Archaeal small subunit ribosomal RNA", at positions 1 to 922 of the family's 1478-position model. The record is from RNAcentral.